Molecule: unclassified non-coding RNA, 336 nt
Filed under: soil metagenome
Description: partial contains 5.8S ribosomal RNA, internal transcribed spacer 2, and large subunit ribosomal RNA
Rfam family: 5.8S ribosomal RNA (bases 1-117)
Source: RNAcentral
GAAGAACGUAGCGAAAUGCGAUACGUAGUGUGAAUUGCAGAAUUCAGUGAAUCAUCGAAUCUUUGAACGCACAUUGCACCUCUCGGUAUUCCGGGAGGUAUGCCUGUUCGAGCGUCAUUUGUACCCUCAAGCUCUGCUUGGUGUUGGGUGUUUGUUCCGCCUCUGUGUGUGAACUCGCCUCAAAACAAUUGGCAGCCGGCGUACUUGUUUCGGAGCGCAGCACAUUUUGCGAUCCAGAUCAACGUACAGCGGCAUCCAAGAAGCCUUAUUUAACGCUCUUGACCUCGGAUCAGGUAGGGAUACCCGCUGAACUUAAGCAUAUCAAUAAGCGGAGGA